RNAcentral lists this ribosomal RNA (568 nucleotides) under Propionibacterium acidifaciens. Its description in RNAcentral is "bacterial SSU rRNA". It matches the Rfam family "Bacterial small subunit ribosomal RNA", at positions 383 to 969 of the family's 1533-position model. Lineage: Bacteria; Bacillati; Actinomycetota; Actinomycetes; Propionibacteriales; Propionibacteriaceae. The record is from RNAcentral.
CUGAUGCAGCACGCCGCGUGCGGGAUGACGCCUUCGGGUUGUAAACCGCUUUCACCCAUGACGAAGCGCGAGUGACGGUAGUGGGGGAAGAAGCACCGGCCACUACGUGCCAGCAGCCGCGGUGAUACGUAGGGUGCGAGCGUGCCCGAUAUGGGCGUAAAGAGCUUGUAGGCGGUUGAUCGCGUCGAUAGUGAAAUCCCGGGGCUCAACCUCGGGCUUGCUGUCGAUACGGGUUGACUUGAGGAAGGUAGGGGAGAAUGGAACUCCCGGUGGAGCGGUGGAAUGCGCAGAUAUCGGGAAGAACACCGGUGGCGAAGGCGGUUCUCUGGACCUUUCCUGACGCUGAGAAGCGAAAGCGUGGGGAGCAAACAGGCUUAGAUACCCUGGUAGUCCACGCUGUAAACGGUGGGUACUAGGUGUGGGUCGCAUUCCACGUGAUCCGUGCCGUAGCCAACGCAUUAAGUACCCCGCCUGGGGAGUACGGCCGCAAGGCUAAAACUCAAAGGAAUUGACGGGGCCCCGCACAAGCGGCGGAGCAUGCGGAUUAAUUCGAUGCAACGCGAAGAAC